Molecule: ribosomal RNA, 451 nt
Filed under: uncultured bacterium
Lineage: Bacteria
Description: bacterial SSU rRNA
Rfam family: Bacterial small subunit ribosomal RNA
Source: RNAcentral
GCCAGACUCCUACGGGAGGCAGCAGUGGGGAAUAUUGGGCAAUGGGCGCAAGCCUGACCCAGCAACGCCGCGUGAAGGAAGAAGGCUUUCGGGUUGUAAACUUCUUUUCUGGGGGACGAAGAAAGUGACGGUACCCCAGGAAUAAGUCACGGCUAACUACGUGCCAGCAGCCGCGGUAAUACGUAGGUGGCAAGCGUUAUCCGGAUUUAUUGGGUGUAAAGGGCGUGUAGGCGGGAAUGCAAGUCAGAUGUGAAAACUAUGGGCUCAACCCAUAGCCUGCAUUUGAAACUGUAUUUCUUGAGUGCUGGAGAGGCAAUCGGAAUUCCGUGUGUAGCGGUGAAAUGCGUAGAUAUACGGAGGAGCACCAGUGGCGAAGGCGGCCUGCUGGACAUUAACUGACGCUGAGGCGCGAAGGCGUGGGGAGCAAACAGGAUUAGAUACCCCGGUAGUG